RNAcentral lists this small RNA (1195 nucleotides) under Arabidopsis thaliana (thale cress). Its description in RNAcentral is "ATSL097940". Lineage: Eukaryota; Viridiplantae; Streptophyta; Magnoliopsida; Brassicales; Brassicaceae. The record is from RNAcentral.
AUUUGCAAACAUGUGAUAACAAUUUUGCAAAAACCAAAAAAAUUACAAGCAAAAAAACUGCAGGUUAUGACAAGAAUCCCAAUUCAAAGUCUAAUAACAAUUUUAAUUUUGCAUAACAACAAACCAAAAAAACUGGAGAUUACAUAUAUAUAUAUAUUAUAUAUAAGCAUUAAAAUCAUGUUUAGUUAUAUUUCUCUGUUUAUAACAUAAGAAAUAGAAAACAUAGACUUCUAUUUAAGAUGCAAGUUUUGAUAAUCUUAAAUUUCAAAAACCAAGCUGCAGUUUGUUGAUGCUCUAGAGUCGCAACUCUAAGGGUGCGCUUUGGUCAAAUCCGAUUUGACAUUUAUUUGGCCGCAGACAAUAAACUACUCUGAGGCUCGCAAGCUCUCGUCACAGUGAGUUUGAAGUUUAGCCAAUCGCAAUUGGUAAACUCAAUCCGAUACUUGUAAGCAAUCACAAUUUUCCCACGUUUAUGAAUCUCAAUUCCAAUCUGUUACUGUUUUUUAAAACAAAACGAAAGGGUUAAGACUAUAGGAGCUAAAAUUAACAAACGCUACGUAAAGUAAUUGAAAUCGAAAUUAUAAACGUUUAAGGAAAGACAAGAGAGGAGUUGAGCUGAUGAACUCUUUUCUUAACCCUUUGAAUCACUCGUUGUGUGACGGAUUCGGUGUGAUUCAAGGAUUCCAGCAUACAGCUCUAACGAACAUAGUUUCCACGAUACUCUCGAGACUUACUUUAAGACAGUGAGAGAUUGCUGGAGAUGUUUUGCUUUUGAAAUAUGUGUGAAUGUGCAACUGUUUCUCUGCUAGUGUCAACAAAGACUUGAAGCGUAACUUUCUUAUAUAUGUUUGAGAUACUUAGGUUUAAAUUUGUUUCUUCAGAAAAUUAAAACCAAGUCAAACAGAAAUAUAGGAGUUAGUUGGUGACUUGAUACUUCAACGACUCAUAUUCUCAAGGAGUUGAGGAAGUGAAGAAGACAUAUUCUUUAGGGACGUGAGGAAUGGAGUGACUUGUUUCCUCCUUUCAAGACCCGACAACCACCGGAGCUCCAACUUGAGAUAUAGGCCAUCUCUUAAGCCCAUUUCUUUUCACACAAGCUUGACAAAAAUUGUGGGGAGAUGAUUCUGAUGAACGAAAAGGGGCACAUCAUGGACUGUAGACUUGACACGAAAGAAAUCAUGUGCACCUACAUACA